RNAcentral lists this non-coding RNA (29 nucleotides) under Homo sapiens (human). The record is from RNAcentral. Lineage: Eukaryota; Metazoa; Chordata; Mammalia; Primates; Hominidae.
UAACUGAGUUGAAUUGAGAUUGAUGUGUU